UACGGGGGGGCAAGCGUUGUUCGGAAUUACUGGGCGUAAAGCGUGCGCAGGCGGUUCGCUAAGACCGAUGUGAAAUCCCCGGGCUUAACCUGGGAACUGCAUUGGUGACUGGCGGGCUAGAGUAUGGCAGAGGGGGGUAGAAUUCCACGUGUAGCAGUGAAAUGCGUAGAGAUGUGGAGGAAUACCGAUGGCGAAGGCAGCCCCCUGGGCCAAUACUGACGCUCAUGCACGAAAGCGUGGGGAGCAAACAGG
Molecule: ribosomal RNA, 252 nt
Filed under: uncultured bacterium
Lineage: Bacteria
Description: partial 16S ribosomal RNA
Rfam family: Bacterial small subunit ribosomal RNA
Source: RNAcentral